This is a small nucleolar RNA of Cynocephalus volans (Philippine flying lemur), 140 nucleotides long. Lineage: Eukaryota; Metazoa; Chordata; Mammalia; Dermoptera; Cynocephalidae. The record is from RefSeq and is a predicted model, not a curated record.
GGCCUCCUGGGAUUGCAUCUGGAGAGUGGCCAGUAUUCUACCAGCUUCAGAAAUGGGAGGGAAAGCAAGCCUGGCAGAGGUGCCCAUUCCAUUCUCAGCUUGCUCAGUAGCUGGUGAUUGGAAGACAGUCUACAACAGCG